AAUUGGUUUCAUUUUCAUGUUUGAAGGUUCGUAGCUACUUUAGUAUUAAGAGUACAAGGUCUUAAUAAGAGUCUGUCCAACCAAUGGUUAUUUUGAUGUAUUCAUCGGUAUGCUUAACCUAUACAAAUAAUUCAAAGAGGACUGAAAAUGGUUUGGAUGUACCCUGACUAUAUAUGCUUCUGAAUCCAGAAUUGGUAGGAUAUGAAUUGCAUAUCUAAAUUCAUUCCCCUUCCAGAUAUCGAUGCAGGUUCAGAAUUUUUUUAAACUGAUUUUUACCUUUUUAAAUAUUGAAUGGUCCAGAUACAGAUAUGUAUAUAUCAUCCACAAACAGAUAAGGAUGCGGAUACAGAUAAGGACACUGUCAUCAGCAUAUUACAAGCAUGGUUCUUUUUUUUUUAAUCUUAAUUUCAUAUAAAAGUUUUACUGUGGUCAUUUCAUUAGUUUCAUAUUGUUUGAUUUAGAGACUAAUUUUUUCAACAGAUCCUUGGUUUGUCCCAUUAUUUUUAAUUUUAC
This 513-nucleotide long non-coding RNA is filed under the name Phoenix dactylifera (date palm). RNAcentral's name for it is "long non-coding RNA (PDAC_LNC022614)". Lineage: Eukaryota; Viridiplantae; Streptophyta; Magnoliopsida; Arecales; Arecaceae. The record is from RNAcentral.